UACGGAGGUGACUAGCGUUGUUCGGAAUUACUGGGCGUAAAGCGCACGUAGGCGGCUUUGUAAGUCAGGGGUGAAAUCCCGGGGCUCAACCUCGGAACUGCCUUUGAUACUGCAAAUCUCGAGUCCGGAAGAGGUGAGUGGAAGUCCUAGUGUAGAGGUGAAAUUCGUAGAUAUUAGGAAGACCUCCAGUGGCGAAGGCGGCUCACUGGUCCGGUACUGACGCAGAGGUGCGCAAGCGUGGGGAGCAAACAGG
RNAcentral lists this ribosomal RNA (253 nucleotides) under uncultured bacterium. Its description in RNAcentral is "partial 16S ribosomal RNA". It matches the Rfam family "Bacterial small subunit ribosomal RNA", at positions 524 to 776 of the family's 1533-position model. The record is from RNAcentral.